RNAcentral lists this long non-coding RNA (634 nucleotides) under Homo sapiens (human). RNAcentral's name for it is "novel transcript". The record is from RNAcentral. Lineage: Eukaryota; Metazoa; Chordata; Mammalia; Primates; Hominidae.
GGGAACUUCCUUCCUGCCCCCUCCGAGUUUUGCCUCUCUCACUGGCAGCAACCCAGCGCUUCCAUUGCUGACCUCUACCGACCUCUACCUGUGGUCCUUCCUCUACUGCAGCAGAGACACUGUUUUCUUCCUUUGUUCUUCCAACCCCAUGUGAAUAAACUGACACUGGAACAUUCAGGAACUUCUUCAUGGUCAUGGUCACCCAGCUAGAGUGUGGAAGCCAGGCUGUCUGAUUCCAGGAUCUGUGUUCUUAAUCCUAUACAUAAGGAAGCCAUAAUGAGUCAACCACUAUUUUUAAGAUUCACAGAUGUUCGGGUCCAAUUCACCAGAAUGCCAAGUUAUACAGGGUUGUGGAAUCAAAAACUGCAAUUAGUAAUAAAAUGUGAUGCUAUCUAGAAUGUUUUUCAUACAUAUAUAUGCUUCUUGGGACUCUCCCUGCAGGUUAAGAGAAAUUGAGAAACGAUGGAGAAUUUAAGUGUUUUAGAUCCUACAUACAUUAGACUUAAAAAUAGUAACUAUGUACAUGAGUAUUUGUAAACUUAAGAAUGAACAUAACAUGAACCAUGUGGCACCUAUAAAAUGAAAAUAAAAUACCUACAAACCAAAUGAGAGCAAUAAAAGAAGCUUUAAGGAC